Molecule: ribosomal RNA, 253 nt
Filed under: uncultured bacterium
Lineage: Bacteria
Description: partial 16S ribosomal RNA
Rfam family: Bacterial small subunit ribosomal RNA
Source: RNAcentral
UACGUAGGUGGCAAGCGUUAUCCGGAUUUAUUGGGCGUAAAGGGAACGCAGGCGGUCUUUUAAGUCUGAUGUGAAAGCCUUCGGCUUAACCGGAGUAGUGCAUUGGAAACUGGGAGACUUGAGUGCAGAAGAGGAGAGUGGAACUCCAUGUGUAGCGGUGAAAUGCGUAGAUAUAUGGAAGAACACCAGUGGCGAAAGCGGCUCUCUGGUCUGUAACUGACGCUGAUGCACGAAAGCGUGGGUAUCAAACAGG